UACGUAGGGGGCAAGCGUUGUCCGGAAUUAUUGGGCGUAAAGAGCUUGUAGGCGGUUUGUCGCGUCUGCUGUGAAAUUUCGGGGCUCAACCCCGAACUUGCAGUGGGUACGGGCAGGCUAGAGUGUGGUAGGGGAGACUGGAAUUCCUGGUGUAGCGGUGAAAUGCGCAGAUAUCAGGAGGAACACCGAUGGUGAAGGCAGGUCUCUGGGCCACUACUGACGCUGAGAAGCGAAAGCAUGGGGAGCGAACAGG
RNAcentral lists this ribosomal RNA (253 nucleotides) under uncultured bacterium. RNAcentral describes it as "partial 16S ribosomal RNA". It matches the Rfam family "Bacterial small subunit ribosomal RNA", at positions 524 to 776 of the family's 1533-position model. The record is from RNAcentral.